AGAGUUUGAUCCUGGCUCAGGACGAACGCUGGCGGCGUGCUUAACACAUGCAAGUCGAACGGUAAGGCCCUUCGGGGUACACGAGUGGCGAACGGGUGAGUAACACGUGGGUAAUCUGCCCUGCACAUCGGGAUAAGCCUGGGAAACUGGGUCUAAUACCGAAUAGGACCACAGGACACAUGUCCUGUGGUGGAAAGCUUUUGCGGUGUGGGAUGGGCCCGCGGCCUAUCAGCUUGUUGGUGGGGUGAUGGCCUACCAAGGCGACGACGGGUAGCCGGCCUGAGAGGGUGUCCGGCCACACUGGGACUGAGAUACGGCCCAGACUCCUACGGGAGGCAGCAGUGGGGAAUAUUGCACAAUGGGCGAAAGCCUGAUGCAGCGACGCCGCGUGGGGGAUGACGGCCUUCGGGUUGUAAACCUCUUUCACCAUCGACGAAGGUCCGGGUUUUCUCGGGCUGACGGUAGGUGGAGAAGAAGCACCGGCCAACUACGUGCCAGCAGCCGCGGUAAUACGUAGGGUGCGAGCGUUGUCCGGAAUUACUGGGCGUAAAGAGCUCGUAGGUGGUUUGUCGCGUUGUUCGUGAAAUCUCACGGCUUAACUGUGAGCGUGCGGGCGAUACGGGCAGACUUGAGUACUGCAGGGGAGACUGGAAUUCCUGGUGUAGCGGUGGAAUGCGCAGAUAUCAGGAGGAACACCGGUGGCGAAGGCGGGUCUCUGGGCAGUAACUGACGCUGAGGAGCGAAAGCGUGGGGAGCGAACAGGAUUAGAUACCCUGGUAGU
RNAcentral lists this ribosomal RNA (781 nucleotides) under uncultured bacterium. RNAcentral describes it as "bacterial SSU rRNA". It matches the Rfam family "Bacterial small subunit ribosomal RNA", at positions 8 to 794 of the family's 1533-position model. The record is from RNAcentral.